Molecule: non-coding RNA, 1411 nt
Organism: Oryctolagus cuniculus (rabbit)
Lineage: Eukaryota; Metazoa; Chordata; Mammalia; Lagomorpha; Leporidae
Source: RefSeq, a predicted model, not a curated record
UCACAAGGCCAGGAGGGACACAGUGCAGGAAGAGCGUGGCUCAGAAGCCCCUGGGAGUUUUCCAGACGGAACCCUGAGCCCGCACCUGGAUCCCGCCUGCCCAUCCCGCCGGAGGUCACGGCGGGGCUGCCCCCGAGGCCGUGGGAGGGCUGAGGGAGGCUGGCGGGAGGCUUCGGCACGCCUUGUUGGCUCUGCUGGGUUCUGAGAGGGCUGCACCUUGGCCUUGGCGGAGGAGAAGAGUUCUUUAUUUCCUCCAGCCCCGAGGCUGCCAGCCCCCAGGCCGAGGUGAGCCCUGUCUCCUCCUGCAGGCCCCAUGCAGCGGGGCCAGGCGGGUGGGCAGGGGGCUCCUCUGACCCUCCGUGCACGCCCGUUCCUCCUCCUCAGCGCUACCCCCAGCUGUUUUUCCUUUCUCCUCCCCACCCCCAAGGCCAGUGCCCAGUUAUUUACCCAAAGAAAACAGGGAAGUGACACGGUAACAGAGUAUGCAUGUUGUGAAAAUCUGCAGGCUGGGGCUGAAGGAAAAAAAAAAAAAAAACAACAUUCUUCCAUAAGUAGCUGCCUUGUUAAUUCAUUUUUUUCUCCAGAUUAGAACCAGCCAUUUCUUGUGCUCCUUCCAGCACCUUCUGUGGUUUCCUGACAGCUGCCUGAGAGGGGUGGAAGUGAGCCCGUUUGCACCCCCUGUUGGGAUGCUAGAAAUGUGAAGACCACUCUUCCAGAAUAAGAAGCAAGGCCCCAGCCGGAGCCGGCCGGAAAAGGACCUCCGAGUUCUCAAUGAGCUGGGGCGGCUCAGAGAUGCCUUUUAUUCCUGGAGCACAGGACGCAAGGCAGGUUUGCAGGAUCCAAGGCGGAACAGCACCUGGGUUUCUGGGGUGUUUGUAUUUGAGGGUAGAGGUGCCAGAUUCUGCAAAUAAAAAUACAGAGCACCUAUUUAAAUCUGAAUUUCAGAUUAAAAAAAUGAAUACUUUUCUCGUAUAAGUACGUUCCAUAAAAUAUCUGGAACAUAUGUGUAUUGAAAAAUGAGUCCUUGCUUGUCUGAAAGCCAAAUUGCGUUGCGGGUUCUGUGUUUUAUCUGGCAACCCUCCUUGCUUGGUUCCUAAACACCAGCAACUCCCAAACCAGCCUGGCUGGCUAGAGCUGAGCCUGCUGUGGGGGGCACAGCUAACAACCCAAUUCCUGCUCCUCACCACAUCCUUUCCAAGAAAGCUGGCUGGCCUGGCCAUCAGGGCACCCAGGAAAGAAAGGGGAGCAAAAGCCACCAGCGGCCCACGGACACUGUGCCCCCUGCUGUUGGGCUCCCUGAGGCCAGCGGCCACAGGGGACAUUUAGCACGAGGGAGCAGGGAUGGUGAGAGGCCUCAGGGGGCAGGAGGAGGCGUGGGAAGGGUUGGUGCCCGGGACAGGGAAGGGUCCAG